This 110-nucleotide small RNA is filed under the name Angiostrongylus costaricensis. RNAcentral describes it as "SL2 RNA". It matches the Rfam family "SL2 RNA". From Rfam's summary of the family: This family represents SL2 RNA. Lineage: Eukaryota; Metazoa; Nematoda; Chromadorea; Rhabditida; Metastrongylidae. The record is from Rfam by way of RNAcentral.
GGUUUUCGCCCAGUACCGCAAGGUACUGCGCGUGUCGAGCCGUUCAUUCGUGGUCGUGCUGCAAACCGAAAUUUUUGGAAUGCCGCACCGGGGUUAUCCGGUGAGGCGAA